RNAcentral lists this long non-coding RNA (370 nucleotides) under Cucumis sativus (cucumber). RNAcentral's name for it is "long non-coding RNA (CSAT_LNC001325)". Lineage: Eukaryota; Viridiplantae; Streptophyta; Magnoliopsida; Cucurbitales; Cucurbitaceae. The record is from RNAcentral.
AACGGCUACACCGACGUCCUUAAGAGAGGCUUUGAUGCAUAGCUUUGGGGAUGCAGGGGAAGGGAGGCGGAUGAGUGAGGUGGGUUUGGAGGAGGAUGUGGACUUGAGGCCGGUGAAGGAAGGGAUAGCGACGGCGGCGGAGGUGACAGCGGCCAUGGUUGUAAGAAAAUUGGGGAUAUUUGUGGGUAAUAAUCAAAGAGGAGAAGAGAGGGGAAAGUGGUAUAUAAGGAAAAGGGAAAGAGAUUGAUUUGAUAUUUUUGUGUGGUUUUGGGAUUGGGAGUGAAUGGAUGAGCAAUGUGUGGCUUUUAGUUUGAGCUUUGGAUAGUGCAUCAUAUGGAUUAUAUGAGUUUUCUUUGGGUGAUUCUCAUUG